CGCGUAGGUGGUUUGUUAAGUUGGAUGUGAAAGCCCCGGGCUUAACCUGGGAACUGCAUCCAAAACUGGCAAGCUAGAGUACGGUAGAGGGUGGUGGAAUUUCCUGUGUAGCGGUGAAAUGCGUAGAUAUAGGAAGGAACACCAGUGGCGAAGGCGACCACCUGGACUGAUACUGACACUGAGGUGCGAAAGCGUGGGGAGGCAAAACA
Molecule: ribosomal RNA, 209 nt
Filed under: uncultured bacterium
Lineage: Bacteria
Description: partial 16S ribosomal RNA
Rfam family: Bacterial small subunit ribosomal RNA
Source: RNAcentral